AUACACGCUACGGUCUACCGAAGAGGUCCACCUGUGCAGUUUUUUGGACCUGCGCAGGUGACCGGCGCAAAAUCUAUUCCCACGCACAUUCCGGUCUACCUGCGCAGGCAUACCUGCACAGGUGGACCUUUCCGGUAGACCACUGCAUAUGGUAUGGCUU
This is a long non-coding RNA of Aricia agestis (brown argus), 160 nucleotides long. RefSeq lists it as uncharacterized. The record is from RefSeq and is a predicted model, not a curated record. Lineage: Eukaryota; Metazoa; Arthropoda; Insecta; Lepidoptera; Lycaenidae. The transcript is spliced from 4 exons.